Molecule: non-coding RNA, 30 nt
Filed under: Rattus norvegicus (Norway rat)
Lineage: Eukaryota; Metazoa; Chordata; Mammalia; Rodentia; Muridae
Source: RNAcentral
UUUGAUUCUUGAUAUUCUGAGUCCCAGGAC